GAUGAACGCUGGCGGCGUGCCUAAUACAUGCAAGUCGAGCGAACCACUUCGGUGGUGAGCGGCGAACGGGUGAGUAACACGUAGGUUAUCUGCCCAUCAGACGGGGACAACGAAUGGAAACGAUCGCUAAUACCGGAUCGGACGAAAGUUUAAAGGUGCUUCUGCACCACUGAGGGAUGAGCCUGCGGCGCAUUAGCUAGUUGGUAGGGUAAAGGCCUACCAAGGCGACGAUGCGUAGCCGACCUGUGUGGGUGAACGGCCAAACUGGGACUGAGACACGGCCCAGACUCCUACGGGAGGCAGCAGUUGGGAAUCUUCGGCAAUGGGCGAAAGCCUGACCGAGCAACGCCGCGUGAAUGAAGAAGGCCUUCGGGUUGUAAAAUUCUGUUAUAAGGGAAGAAUGGCUCUAGCAGGGAAUGGCUAGAGUGUGACGGUACCUUAUGAGAAAGCCACGGCUAACUACGUGCCAGCAGCCGCCGUAA
This 482-nucleotide ribosomal RNA is filed under the name uncultured bacterium. Its description in RNAcentral is "partial 16S ribosomal RNA". It matches the Rfam family "Bacterial small subunit ribosomal RNA", at positions 28 to 523 of the family's 1533-position model. The record is from RNAcentral.